GGUGAAACCGCGAAUGGCUCAUUAAAUCAGUCAUAAUUCCUUGGGUAGUGAAAAACUUUCCUCGGAUAACUGUGGAAAAUCCAGAGCUAAUACGUGCAACUGAGCUCCGACCUUGGCGUGAGCCUUGGGAAGAGCGCAUUUAUUAGAUUCAAAACUGACCGGUGUAAUCUUUCGGGAUAUGCCGUUUGUCAAAUGUUUGAUGACUCCGGAUAACUUAGCCGAGCGCUACGGUCAUCAGUACCGGCGCCGUAUCUUUCAAGUGUCUGCCUUAUCAGCUUUCGAUUGUAGGUUAAACGCCUACAAUGGCUGUAACGGGUAACGGGGAAUCAGGGUUCGAUUCCGGAGAGGGAGCCUGAGAAACGGCUACCACAUCUAAGGAAGGCAGCAGGCACGCAAAUUACCCACUCCUAGCCCAGGGAGGUAGUGACGAAAAAUAACGAUGCGAGACUCUUCCGAGGCCUCGCAAUCGGAAUGAGUCUAUUAUAAAUGUAUGGACGAGGAUCCAUUGGAGGGCAAGUCUGGUGCCAGCAGCCGCGGUAAUUCCAGCUCCAAUAGCGUAUAUUAAAGUUGCUGCGGUUAAAAAGCUCGUAGUUGGAUCUACUAAACCAUUUCGUGAACGAGUCGCUCUUUGCACUAGCGUUUCGCGCGGUUCCUCGAUUAAAGACGCGUAGUCGUCGGUUGUAUCUUUCCUCCGGGAUUGGUCGAUCUUCGCUCGCGUACCUAAGUCUUGCGGACGGCGGGACGUUGUCAUCGGGUAUAGCUCGUUCGCGUUUGGUACAAUUAAAAUUUUGUCGGCUCGCUCGGAGUGCUCUUUACCGAGUGUUCCAGGGUGGCCGACACGUUCACUUUGAAAAAAUUAGAGUGCUUAAAGCGGGCCUAUCUUCGGGCCGGAAUGUCUGUGCAUGGAAUGAAGUAACAGGACCUCGAUUCUGUUGUUUUUGUCGGUUUUAAUGAACCGAGGUAAUGAUUAAAAGGGACAGUCGGUGGCAUUAGUAUUGCGACGCUAGAGGUGAAAUUCUUGGACCGUCGCAAGACUGACUACUGCGAAAGCAUUUGCCAAGCAUGUUUUCAUUAAUCAAGAACGAAAGUUAGAGGAUCGAAGGCGAUCAGAUACCGCCCUAGUUCUAACCCUAAACUAUGCUAACUAGCGAUCCGCCGGAGUCAUUCCCACGACCCGGCGGGAAGCCCCAGGGAAACCAAAGUCUUUGAGUUCCGGGGGAAGUAUGGUUGCAAAGCUGAAACUUAAAGGAAUUGACGGAAGGGCACCACCAGGAGUGGAGCCUGCGGCUUAAUUUGACUCAACACGGGGAACCUCACCAGGCCCGGACAUCAUAAGGAUUGACAGGUUGAGAGCUCUUUCUCGAUUUGAUGGGUGGUGGUGCAUGGCCGUUCUUAGUUGGUGGAGUGAUCUGUCUGGUUGAUUCCGAUAACGAACGAGACUCUACCUUACUAACUAGUCGGCGGAUCGUAACCCUGAGAUGGUUAGUUUGUAUAGGAGGGUGUUUGCCGAGGUAUUCGUUUCCUCGAUCGUUGCGUGCGUGCGGAUUUAUCGGAAUAGUCGUUUAGGCGGCGAAACUGGUAUUUUCCACUAUCGUUCGGUCGGGGGGCUUUGCCGAAGCUGCUUUCUGAUUACUGCUACUGCUGGGGGCGUUCGUCGCAAUAUAUCUUCUUAGAAGGAUCAGCGGCGUAUAGCCGUACGAGAAAGAGCAAUAACAGGUCUGUGAUGCCCUUAGAUGUUCUGGGCCGCACGCGCGCUACAAUGUAAGGACCAGCGUGCUUUCCCCCUCCGAAAGGAAAGGGUAACCCGUUGAAAGCCCUACCCGAUUGGGAUUGGGGAUUGCAAAUAUUUCCCAUAAACGAGGAAUUCCCAGUAAGCGCGAGUCAUCAACUAGCGCUGAUUAAGUCCCUGCCCUUUGUACACACCGCCCGUCGCUACUACCGAUUGAAUGAUUCAGUGAGGGCAUCGGACUGGCCCUUCGGUUUUGAAACAUAGACCUUAGGCUGACGGAAUACGAUGUCCGAAC
RNAcentral lists this ribosomal RNA (2024 nucleotides) under Thaumastosoma platycarpus. RNAcentral's name for it is "SSU rRNA". It matches the Rfam family "Eukaryotic small subunit ribosomal RNA". Lineage: Eukaryota; Metazoa; Arthropoda; Malacostraca; Isopoda; Nannoniscidae. The record is from RNAcentral.